UACAGAGGUCCCAAGCGUUGUUCGGAUUCACUGGGCGUAAAGCGUGCGCAGGCGGUUCGUUAAGUUCGUUGUGAAAGCCCCGGGCUCAACCUGGGAACUGCAAUGGAAACUGGCGGGCUUGAAUGCGGCAGAGGGGGGUGGAAUUCCGCGUGUAGCAGUGAAAUGCGUAGAUAUCUGGAGGAACACCGGUGGCGAAGGCGGCAUCCUGGACCGGGAUUGACACUGAGGCGCGAAAGCCAGGGGAGCAAACGGG
RNAcentral lists this ribosomal RNA (253 nucleotides) under uncultured bacterium. RNAcentral's name for it is "partial 16S ribosomal RNA". It matches the Rfam family "Bacterial small subunit ribosomal RNA", at positions 524 to 776 of the family's 1533-position model. The record is from RNAcentral.